RNAcentral lists this long non-coding RNA (1341 nucleotides) under Homo sapiens (human). RNAcentral's name for it is "long independently transcribed non-coding RNA 2192 (LINC02192)". Lineage: Eukaryota; Metazoa; Chordata; Mammalia; Primates; Hominidae. The record is from RNAcentral.
UUAACAUCACUUCCCCAGGGCGAGGAACUCCAUGUGAGGCUCUGGGGGAACCUGACUAUGUGCAGUCGUUUACAGCCUGGGUCUCCUGGAGCCUAUGAAAUGAGAAGCAGUCAUUAGCACAGCAAGCGGCCCUCAUCCUUCCUUCUCAAUAAUAACACUGUCACCAGAGGAUGGAAAAUUACCCUGACGUCUCUGUAUCUCCAAAUUGCACUUCAGAGACAGACUGCGUAAGGCAAACAGACCCUGAGUGAAAACCUCCUGGCUAGACUUCCAAGCCAAGGCCUAAUAAAUAACCCUGAAAUAUACAAAGUGAUGGCAGCUUUGCUCUGUGGCUCGUGGCUUCUGCCCUGGGAAGGACCAUGAAUUUCAGCGUCUGACAGAUGGGGUCAGAAAGUGGAGUCUGCCUGGUGGGUUGAGGAUCUGCAAAUUAACCCCAUGGUGGUGGUUUCAGAACAAGUGUGCCUGCUCACGCAAAGACUAACCUCUAAGAAAGGAGCAGGCCCGGAGGUGAGGCCCCCUGGGCGUGAAAGAAUCAACCCCAGUCCACAAAGUCCGGAGAUGAGACAUCCUGCCUGGAGGAGGGAGCCCUGUGCAUCGCAGGAUCAAAGAAGCCAAACAGGAUCUUUAGUGGUGACCGAAAAUGCUCAUGAGGAGAAAGGCUGCAUGGCAUUAAGUGAACCCCAUUGAAAGGGCCCAGUGAACAGAGCCCCUGGACAUUGCCGGAAGGAAAGGAGAAAGCCCAGCAAAGCACACAACGUAUCAGGCUUUUCAUGUGUCAUUGGGUGAAAGGGAGUCACAUGGGCCAAGGAGGGGAAGCAGGUGUCAUCAGAGCAGUUCCACAGCCCUCUAGGCACAGUAACAGGCAUGCUUUCUGUCCUUCUCUCCUUUUAGAUUGUAAGCUACCCAAAGUCCAUCUCCAUGGGUUUUUUUCCUUAUGUGCAAACUACCAUAUGACAGGUGUGCCUGACAAUAACUCAGGUAUAGCUGAGAAUGAUCCUGUAGUCCAAGAAUGUUGGUUCUGAGCUCUGAACUAAGGAAUCUGGGAGCUGCCAACCCAGAGGUUUACUCCUUAUCUAUGGAGCAUAGGUGAACCCCUGGCCCAUUUCUUGGAACAGCAUGUGCGGGGAACCAAGGCCCUUUGUUUUGAGCUAGGUGGAGGUGGCCAGGUAGAGGUCGCCAGGAAGAGGUGGCCAGGUGGAGGUUGCUAAGCAAAGAUUGCUAUAUUAACUGGGUGCUUUUUAGAAACCAUAGUGGUUACCCCAUUCAUCCAGCCACUCCUGGACUCCCUGUACGUUUAAGUUGCCCAAUAAAACUUAUGUCUUGCUAAAAAAAAAAAAAAAA